This 604-nucleotide ribosomal RNA is filed under the name Hortaea werneckii. RNAcentral describes it as "eukaryotic LSU rRNA". It matches the Rfam family "Eukaryotic large subunit ribosomal RNA", at positions 37 to 668 of the family's 3401-position model. Lineage: Eukaryota; Fungi; Ascomycota; Dothideomycetes; Mycosphaerellales; Teratosphaeriaceae. The record is from RNAcentral.
UGCAUAUCAAUAAGCGGAGGAAAAGAAACCAACAGGGAUUGCCCUAGUAACGGCGAGUGAAGCGGCAACAGCUCAAAUUUGAAAUCUGGCGCAAGCCCGAGUUGUAAUUUGUAGAGGAUGCUUCUGGGCAGCGGCCGGUCUAAGUUCCUUGGAACAGGACGUCAUAGAGGGUGAGAAUCCCGUAUGCGACCGGCUUGCACCCGUCACGUAGCUCCUUCGACGAGUCGAGUUGUUUGGGAAUGCAGCUCUAAAUGGGAGGUAAAUUUCUUCUAAGGCUAAAUACCGGCCAGAGACCGAUAGCGCACAAGUAGAGUGAUCGAAAGAUGAAAAGCACUUUGGAAAGAGAGUUAAAAAGCACGUGAAAUUGUUGAAAGGGAAGCUCACGCAACCAGACUUGUCGGCGGUGUUCCGCCGGUCUUCUGACCGGUCUACUCGCCGCCGGCAGGCCAGCAUCACUUGGGAGCGCCGGAUAAAGGCGUGCGGAAUGUAGCCCCUCGGGGCAUUAUAGCCGCGCGCACAAUACGGCGCCUCCCGAGUGAGGUCCGCGCUUCGGCUAGGAUGCUGGCGUAAUGGUUGCUUGAGGCCCGUCUUGAAACACGGACCA